RNAcentral lists this ribosomal RNA (447 nucleotides) under uncultured bacterium. Its description in RNAcentral is "partial 16S ribosomal RNA". It matches the Rfam family "Bacterial small subunit ribosomal RNA", at positions 29 to 523 of the family's 1533-position model. The record is from RNAcentral.
AACGAACGCUGGCGGCAGGCUUAACACAUGCAAGUCGAACGCCCCGCAAGGGGAGUGGCAGACGGGUGAGUAACACGUGGGAACAUGCCCAAAGGUACGGAACAACUCCGGGAAACUGGAGCUAAUACCGUAUGUGCCCGAAAGGGGAAAGAUUUAUCGCCUUUGGAUUGGCCCGCGUCGGAUUAGCUAGUUGGUGGGGUAAAAGCCUACCAAGGCGACGAUCCGUAGCUGGUUUGAGAGAACGACCAGCCACGCUGGGACUGAGACACGGCCCAGACUCCUACGGGAGGCAGCAGUGGGGAAUCUUGGACAAUGGGCGCAAGCCUGAUCCAGCCAUGCCGCGUGGAUGAUGAAGGCCUUAGGGUUGUAAAAUCCUUUCGUUGGGGACGAUAAUGACGGUACCCAAAGAAGAAGCCCCGGCUAACUUCGUGCCAGCCGCCGCAGUAA